This 1083-nucleotide ribosomal RNA is filed under the name Kocuria carniphila. RNAcentral describes it as "bacterial SSU rRNA". It matches the Rfam family "Bacterial small subunit ribosomal RNA", at positions 310 to 1401 of the family's 1533-position model. The record is from RNAcentral. Lineage: Bacteria; Bacillati; Actinomycetota; Actinomycetes; Micrococcales; Micrococcaceae.
ACACUGGGACUGAGACACGGCCCAGACUCCUACGGGAGGCAGCAGUGGGGAAUAUUGCACAAUGGGCGAAAGCCUGAUGCAGCGACGCCGCGUGAGGGAUGACGGCCUUCGGGUUGUAAACCUCUUUCAGCACGGAAGAAGCGAAAGUGACGGUACGUGCAGAAGAAGCGCCGGCUAACUACGUGCCAGCAGCCGCGGUAAUACGUAGGGCGCAAGCGUUGUCCGGAAUUAUUGGGCGUAAAGAGCUCGUAGGCGGUUUGUCGCGUCUGCUGUGAAAGCCCGGGGCUUAACCCCGUGGUGUGCAGUGGGUACGGGCAGACUAGAGUGCAGUAGGGGAGACUGGAAUUCCUGGUGUAGCGGUGAAAUGCGCAGAUAUCAGGAGGAACACCGAUGGCGAAGGCAGGUCUCUGGGCUGUUACUGACGCUGAGGAGCGAAAGCAUGGGGAGCGAACAGGAUUAGAUACCCUGGUAGUCCAUGCCGUAAACGUUGGGCACUAGGUGUGGGGGACAUUCCACGUUUUCCGCGCCGUAGCUAACGCAUUAAGUGCCCCGCCUGGGGAGUACGGCCGCAAGGCUAAAACUCAAAGGAAUUGACGGGGGCCCGCACAAGCGGCGGAGCAUGCGGAUUAAUUCGAUGCAACGCGAAGAACCUUACCAAGGCUUGACAUACACCAGACCGGUCCAGAGAUGGUCCUUCCCCUUUGGGGUUGGUGUACAGGUGGUGCAUGGUUGUCGUCAGCUCGUGUCGUGAGAUGUUGGGUUAAGUCCCGCAACGAGCGCAACCCUCGUUCUAUGUUGCCAGCACGUGAUGGUGGGGACUCAUAGGAGACUGCCGGGGUCAACUCGGAGGAAGGUGGGGAUGACGUCAAAUCAUCAUGCCCCUUAUGUCUUGGGCUUCACGCAUGCUACAAUGGCCGGUACAAUGGGUUGCGAUACCGUGAGGUGGAGCUAAUCCCAAAAAGCUGGUCUCAGUUCGGAUCGUGGUCUGCAACUCGACCACGUGAAGUCGGAGUCGCUAGUAAUCGCAGAUCAGCAACGCUGCGGUGAAUACGUUCCCGGGCCUUGUACACACCGCCCGUCAAG